RNAcentral lists this unclassified non-coding RNA (243 nucleotides) under plant metagenome. RNAcentral's name for it is "partial contains small subunit ribosomal RNA, internal transcribed spacer 1, and 5.8S ribosomal RNA". The stretch from base 196 to 243 matches the Rfam family "5.8S ribosomal RNA", at positions 1 to 49 of the family's 154-position model. The record is from RNAcentral.
UCUCCGUUGGUGAACCAGCGGAGGGAUCAUUACAGGACUCGCAAGACUCCUUCACCCUGUGAACCUCACUACAAGCACGUUGCUUCGGCGGGUGUCCCGGCGGGGGUUUUCCCUCGCCGGGGCGCACAGCCCGCCGGCAGCCUACUAUACUCUGUCUCUUUGCGUUGGCAUCUCGAGAAAAAACAAACAAGUUAAAACUUUCAACAACGGAUCUCUUGGUUCUGGCAUCGAUGAGAACGCAGC